GAUGAACGCUGGCGGCGUGCUUAACACAUGCAAGUCGAACGGGAACUCUAGACUGAAGGUUCGCUGGAUGUUUAGAAAUUCUAGUGGCGGACGGGUGAGUAACGCGUGGGUAACCUGCCUAUAAGACGUGAACAACAGUUAGAAAUGACUGCUAAUACACGAUAAGCACACCAGUAUCGCAUGAUACAGUGUGAAAAGAAUUUCGCUUAUAGAUGGACCCGCGUUUGAUUAGCUAGUUGGCGAGGUAACGGCCCACCAAGGCAACGAUCAGUAGCCGGCCUGAGAGGGUGUACGGCCACAUUGGGACUGAGACACGGCCCAAACUCC
RNAcentral lists this ribosomal RNA (327 nucleotides) under uncultured Lachnospiraceae bacterium. RNAcentral describes it as "bacterial SSU rRNA". It matches the Rfam family "Bacterial small subunit ribosomal RNA", at positions 28 to 339 of the family's 1533-position model. Lineage: Bacteria; Bacillati; Bacillota; Clostridia; Lachnospirales; Lachnospiraceae. The record is from RNAcentral.